UACAGGGGGUGCAAACGUUGCUCGGAAUCAUUGGGCGUAAAGCGCACGUAGGCGGUUCGUUAUGUCGGAUGUGAAAGCCCUUGGCUUAACCGAGGAAGUGCAUCCGAAACUGGCGAGCUAGAGUACUAAAGAGGAUCGCGGAAUUCCCCGGUGUAGAGGUGAAAUUCGUAGAUAUCGUAAGGAAGACCAGUGGCGAAGGCGGGUCGCUGGACAGUUCCUGACGCUGAGGGCACGAAGGUCAGGGGAGUCAAACGGG
RNAcentral lists this ribosomal RNA (256 nucleotides) under uncultured bacterium. Its description in RNAcentral is "partial 16S ribosomal RNA". It matches the Rfam family "Bacterial small subunit ribosomal RNA", at positions 524 to 776 of the family's 1533-position model. The record is from RNAcentral.